RNAcentral lists this long non-coding RNA (205 nucleotides) under Elaeis guineensis (African oil palm). RNAcentral's name for it is "long non-coding RNA (EGUI_LNC018268)". The record is from RNAcentral. Lineage: Eukaryota; Viridiplantae; Streptophyta; Magnoliopsida; Arecales; Arecaceae.
AUUUCCCUCAUCAGUUUGCAAUCAUGUCAUAUGAGAAACCAUAAAGAGUUUCUCAUCAAGGGUAAGGGGAUGGUUGCUGCUUCGGUUUAGACAGCCUUUCUCUCCUUAUACAAAACAUCAUUUGAGGGAUAUUGGGAUAGUUGCUGCUACAGAUACAGUAGCCUUCUAGUCCCAGUAAAAUAAAGCUCUCAAGAUUGCUUGCAUG